This 217-nucleotide ribosomal RNA is filed under the name uncultured bacterium. RNAcentral describes it as "partial 16S ribosomal RNA". It matches the Rfam family "Bacterial small subunit ribosomal RNA", at positions 1285 to 1500 of the family's 1533-position model. The record is from RNAcentral.
GUCUCAGUUCGGAUUGCAGGCUGCAACCCGCCUGCAUGAAGUUGGAAUUGCUAGUAAUCGCGGAUCAGCAUGCCGCGGUGAAUACGUUCCCUGGCCUUGUACACACCGCCCGUCACACCAUGGGAGCCGGUAAUACCCGAAGUCAGUAGCCUAACCGCAAGGGGGGCGCUGCCCGAAGGUAGGAUUGGCGACUGGGGUGAAGUCGUAACAAGGUAUC